This 421-nucleotide RNase P RNA is filed under the name Deinococcus sp. KSM4-11. RNAcentral's name for it is "RNase P RNA component class A". It matches the Rfam family "Bacterial RNase P class A". Rfam says of the family: Ribonuclease P (RNase P) is a ubiquitous endoribonuclease, found in archaea, bacteria and eukarya as well as chloroplasts and mitochondria. Its best characterised activity is the generation of mature 5'-ends of tRNAs by cleaving the 5'-leader elements of precursor-tRNAs. Lineage: Bacteria; Thermotogati; Deinococcota; Deinococci; Deinococcales; Deinococcaceae. The record is from RNAcentral.
GCGGGGGAAUGCACGGCCGCGCCCGGGCGCGAGUCCGGGUGAGGAAAGUCCGGGCACCGCAGGGCAGGAUGCCAGCUAACGGCUGGUCGGCGAGUCGAGCGCCCACCCAUGCGCCGCAGGGGUGGAGAGCGGCGAAGUCGAAGGACAGUGCCACAGAAACCAGACCGCCAGUGUCAUACAGUCCCGGCGCGGACGACACUGGUCAGGGUGAAACGGUGCGGUAAGAGCGCACCAGGCCCGCAGGAGACUGUGGGUGUCUGGUAAACCCCAUCCGGUGCAAGACCCGACAGUGCGCGAGGGCGGCCCGCCCGUUGACCGCCAGGAUGGUCGCUUGAGGCGCCUGGCAACAGGUGUCCCAGAGAGAUGGCCGCGCAGCCACGCAAGUGGCGGACAGAACCCGGCUUACAGUUCCCCCGCACCA